RNAcentral lists this ribosomal RNA (253 nucleotides) under uncultured bacterium. RNAcentral describes it as "partial 16S ribosomal RNA". It matches the Rfam family "Bacterial small subunit ribosomal RNA", at positions 337 to 585 of the family's 1533-position model. The record is from RNAcentral.
ACCUACGGGGGGCAGCAGUGAGGGAUAUUGGUCAAUGGGCGGAAGCCUGAACCAGCCAAGUCGCGUGAGGGAUUAAGGCCCUACGGGUCGUAAACCUCUUUUGCCGGGGAGCAGAGGUCCGGACGUGUCCGGGCCGGGAGAGUACCCGGAGAAAAAGCAUCGGCUAACUCCGUGCCAGCAGCCGCGGUAAUACGUAGGAUCCGAGCAUUAUCCGGAGUGACUGGGUGUAAAGAGUUGCGUAGGUGGCAUAAUA